AGAGCUCAAAUAAUAACAUAAAAGGGUAAUAAUAGUCGAUUACAUCAUAUGUCUGAGACAUCCACAUAGUCCUUAACAAUAAUCAAAGUGCGAAAAGAUACACACGGCCUUCACAGGCAGCCGACUGGGGGUUGCCGCUAACCCACGCCUAAAACUCGUCAUAAUCUUGGAACUCCUGGAAGUCUUCCUCCACGGCUUCAUCUUCUCCUGAGCAGUAGUUGCAACAUGGACAACCUGGGGAAGGGGAGGGUUUGGUGUGUAGAGCAAGGGUGAGUACACAUCAACAUACUCAGCAAAUGUCAUGUUUGGCUAUAGUGGACUAGCUUUAUGUGGGGUUAAGUCAAGCAGUUGCUUUUAGUUGGUCAGAUUAUUAUUAUUAAUAGAGAGAGCUAGAUUUUAGUAUUAACCUAAGUUGUUAACCCAAAAGUACCCUUUCCAAGCGGAAAGAAUACCACUUACCAUUACCAUAGUCAAUAUCAAAACCAUCAUCCUCAUCACCACGUGUAAUCCGAACAUCUCUGAUCAAGUAUCUCUAAUCAAUGGAUCUCCCUUGGCCGCUCAUAACCGCGAGCAAGGAUGAUAUAUCAGUUUUCAUAACACUCUGCAGAGGUUGCGCACUUUACCCACAAGUCGUGAUUCCCUUUCUGCCCGGAGAUCAUGACUCUCCAUUGAUCACUACCAAGGUGACCCAGCAGGGUAUCACUACGUAGCCUUUACAAAGAUUCCUCGGGGCUGUAGCCGCCCGUUAGGUUUCCUAAAUGCACCGCACUCCUCCCCAAGGGGCGAACCAAUCUUGGCAGAGCGAGCCACAUACACUGAGCCCCAUUAACGGCACAACGGCGAAGCGAACUACACCACGGUUCCUCUAAUUAUUCAGCUAAGGGCGUCUCAUUCCACCCUCAUGGUUGCACUGUUUCCCCGUGCGGUCAUCCAAUGAACAGGUCCUUACGGAGAGGCACUCGAGAAACCGCUCGAGUCCCCUUAAAUGCCACAAGUAUAUCAUCAUAAUAAAGAAGGGAAACAACGUAUCAUUGAUAAAUCUCAUCAUGUUCAUUGAUUAACGUGAAGCACUAGCAUGAAGCUAAACUAGAAUAAUCCAACACAAAUAGGUAAGCAAGGACAUGAAUAACAAAAGCUAGUCAAACCUUAGGUAUAAACUGUGUAAAUGCGGAAAAUGAAUUAAGGAAUGUAUAGGACAUAAGUGGGUCAAGGGACACUUGCCUACACCAACCCGCUGCUGCUCAGGGUCUUCUCCUGUGAGUUAUUCAGACUCCUCAACCAAACCAUUAUCUAUGCGAGUGCAAACAUACAUCCAUCUUUUUGAAUUAGGAAAUAAACAGUACACCAUACAAAAGAGCAGAUCAAUUGAACAUGCAUAUGAUAUGACAUACGAUUUGCAUUCGCAAUUGCUAGAAAGAGAAAAAGAAGGGACUCGCAGUGGCUAAAGCUAUAGUCGAAACAUAUUACGUGUAGGGGUGCAAUUAAUUAUUACAUCGUCUAACUCUACCUAGCCAUACUAACAGGUAUUAAUCACAUACACUAACAGAGUUACAAUUAAUCCAAUUGGCCGACACUACAUAAGUCGUCAUUUAACUACGUGAGAUAAUUAACGUGGUCAAUUCUAAGUGGAGUUCAACUACAUAAAAUAAACGACACGCUCAACGCGCAUAAAAUAAACGGGGUGGGGGGGGGGGUGGGGGUAGAUGGAGUAGUUCGGGGGGUAGACGGGCUCGUCACAUGCGUGGCAGAGCGCUACGCGUCGCGCCGGGAGCACGGCGAACCGCACCAAGACGUCGUGCGCGAGAUGGCACCGCGCCGGGGGUCGGGCGAGCUGCACAAGCAGUGGGGCCACGCCGGGGGCCAAGCGCGCUGCUCAAGCAGUGGGCCACGCCGGGCAGCACCGCGCCGCGCCGAGCAUGCCGCGCGCAGGGGAGCGCGCCGGGACCACGGGGUCGCCGUGCCGGGCGUCGGGGCGAGACACGGCCGCACGCGCCGCGGGGGGAGGAGGGCUGCGCCGAGGGGCGGGGCGAGGCACGCCGGGGCGGGCGCGCGCACGCGCCAGGGCAAGCAUGUCGGGCCACCGUGAGCUGGGGCGGGCGCGCUAUGGCCGGGAGGAGGGGCGAGACCGCGCGCGCCGGGCAAGCUGCCGCGCGGGGAAGGGGCCUCGCGCGCCGGAGCGAGCUGCCGCGCGGGAGGGGGCCGAGCGCGCUAGGGUGAGCCGUGUGCGCCGGGGCGUCCGCGCCGAGCCGGCGGGCGCCAUGGCCGCUGGGGCCAAGGAAGAAGAAGGGGAGGGGUGGGGAAGAGGAGGGAGAGGGGCUCACCACGCGCGGGGUGGGGGGGCGAGGGCGGCACAGGCGGUCGGCGGUUUCCAAGCGACGCGGGCGAGGUGGAGGAGAGGGACGAGAUGCGCGGGGGAGAGAGAGAGGACAUGUGCGGGGGUAGAGGAGAGAGGGAGG
Molecule: long non-coding RNA, 2456 nt
Filed under: Zea mays
Lineage: Eukaryota; Viridiplantae; Streptophyta; Magnoliopsida; Poales; Poaceae
Description: long non-coding RNA (ZMAY_LNC003483)
Source: RNAcentral